Molecule: ribosomal RNA, 549 nt
Filed under: uncultured Glomeromycotina
Lineage: Eukaryota; Fungi; Glomeromycota
Description: SSU rRNA
Rfam family: Eukaryotic small subunit ribosomal RNA
Source: RNAcentral
UUGGAGGGCAAGUCUGGUGCCAGCAGCCGCGGUAAUUCCAGCUCCAAUAGCGUAUAUUAAAGUUGUUGCAGUUAAAAAGCUCGUAGUUGAAUUUCGGGGUCAGUAGGUUGGUCAUGCCACUGGUAUGUACUGGUCUCACUGAUUCCUCCUUCCUGAUGAGCCGUAAUGCCAUUAAUUUGGUGUUGCGAGGAAUCUGGACUGUUACUUUGAAAAAAUUAGAGUGUUUGAAGCAAGCUAACGCUUGAAUACAUUAGCAUGGAAUAAUGAAAUAGGACGUUCGAUCCUAUUUUGUUGGUUUCUAGGAUUGACGUAAUGAUUAAUAGGGAUAGUUGGGGGCAUUAGUAUUCAAUUGUCAGAGGUGAAAUUCCUGGAUUUAUUGAAGACUAACUACUGCGAAAGCAUUUGCCAAGGAUGUUUUCAUUAAUCAAGAACGAAAGUUAGGGGAUCGAAGACGAUCAGAUACCGUCGUAGUCUUAACCAUAAACUAUGCCGACUAGGGAUCGGAUGAUGUUAAUUUUUUAAUGACUCAUUCGGCGCCUUACGGGAAAC